Molecule: ribosomal RNA, 496 nt
Filed under: uncultured bacterium
Lineage: Bacteria
Description: partial 16S ribosomal RNA
Rfam family: Bacterial small subunit ribosomal RNA
Source: RNAcentral
AUGAACGCUGGCGGCGUGCCUAAUACAUGCCAGUCGAGCGAACGGACGAGAAGCUUUCUUCUCUGAUGUUAGCGGCGGACGGGUGAGUAACACGUGGAUAACCUACCUAUAAUUCUGGGAUAACUUCGGGAAGCCGUAGCUAAUACCGGAUAAUAUUUUGAACCGCAUGGUUCAAAAGUUAAAGACGGUCUUGCUUUCACUUAUAGAUGGAUCCUCGCUGCAUUAGCUAGUUGGUAAGGUAACGGCUUACCAAGGCAACGAUGCAUAGACGACCUGAGAGGGUGAUCGGCCACACUGGAACUGAGACACGGUCCAGACUCCUACGGGAGGCAGCAGUAGGGAAUCUUCCGCAAUGGGCGAAAGCCUGACGGAGCAACGCCGCGUGAGUGAUGAAGGUCUUCGGAUCGUAAAACUCUGUUAUUAGGGAAGAACAUAUGUGUAAGUAAAUGUGCACAUCUUGACGGUACCUAAUCAGAAAGCCACGGCUAACUACGUG